RNAcentral lists this unclassified non-coding RNA (243 nucleotides) under Hevea brasiliensis (rubber tree). The record is from RNAcentral. Lineage: Eukaryota; Viridiplantae; Streptophyta; Magnoliopsida; Malpighiales; Euphorbiaceae.
CUAAGUUAUAUUCCAUCAACACUUCUCAUGUCAGAAGUAUCUUAUGUGGAAUUCCUUGAUAGAGUGCAUGUGUCUGAGACAAAGCUCCGAAUAAAAGGCUUAUGGGAAGUUCCACAUCCAUGGAUGAAUCUCCUAAUCCCAAGAAGCAAAAUUUCUGAAUUUGCUCAAGAGGUCUUUGGCAACAUUCGCUCAGAGGGUAGCAAUGGUCCCAUCCUCAUCUAUCCAGUCAACAAGUCCAAGUGG